CUCUGAUGUUAGCGGCGGACGGGUGAGUAACACGUGGAUAACCUACCUAUAAGACUGGGAUAACUUCGGGAAACCGGAGCUAAUACCGGAUAAUAUUUUGAACCGCAUGGUUCAAAAGUGAAAGACGGUCUUGCUGUCACUUAUAGAUGGAUCCGCGCUGCAUUAGCUAGUUGGUAAGGUAACGGCUUACCAAGGCAACGAUGCAUAGCCGACCUGAGAGGGUGAUCGGCCACACUGGAACUGAGACACGGUCCAGACUCCUACGGGAGGCAGCAGUAGGGAAUCUUCCGCAAUGGGCGAAAGCCUGACGGAGCAACGCCGCGUGAGUGAUGAAGGUCUUCGGAUCGUAAAACUCUGUUAUUAGGGAAGAACAUAUGUGUAAGUAACUGUGCACAUCUUGACGGUACCUAAUCAGAAAGCCACGGCUAACUACGUGCCAGCAGCCGCGGUAAUACGUAGGUGGCAAGCGUUAUCCGGAAUUAUUGGGCGUAAAGCGCGCGUAGGCGGUUUUUUAAGUCUGAUGUGAAAGCCCACGGCUCAACCGUGGAGGGUCAUUGGAAACUGGAAAACUUGAGUGCAGAAGAGGAAAGUGGAAUUCCAUGUGUAGCGGUGAAAUGCGCAGAGAUAUGGAGGAACACCAGUGGCGAAGGCGACUUUCUGGUCUGUAACUGACGCUGAUGUGCGAAAGCGUGGGGAUCAAACAGGAUUAGAUACCCUGGUAGUCCACGCCGUAAACGAUGAGUGCU
This 746-nucleotide ribosomal RNA is filed under the name Staphylococcus aureus. Its description in RNAcentral is "bacterial SSU rRNA". It matches the Rfam family "Bacterial small subunit ribosomal RNA", at positions 84 to 817 of the family's 1533-position model. Lineage: Bacteria; Bacillati; Bacillota; Bacilli; Caryophanales; Staphylococcaceae. The record is from RNAcentral.